GUCUGGAGGGACUGAGACAGCUCCCCUCCUCUGCAGAGAGACUGUUUUCAAUGACCAGAGUGUGGGGAGGUCAACAGACAUGCCUCACACCGCAGCCUCACUGGCAGGGCCAGCUGGUGACUCAGGGGCAUGCAGGCGUGCAGAACUUCAGGUAGAUGGUGGGCCCUGAGCUGCAGAGGCGGGGGCAAGCGAGAGCAGGACCCAGGAAGAGGCACCCAGCCGGCCGGUGUUUGAGCGGAGUGCCAGAAGAGUUCUACUGGAUGUCGGAUGGCAUCAGUCCGGAACCUUGGGGGACCCACAGUCAGCUGGGACACUGGCCAAAACUGCAGACCCCUGCACUGCCCUCUACAGAUUCUACUCAGUGGAGUCCUGGUGAUGUUCCCCAGAGUGCCAGGACCAGACGCGGAGCCAUGCCCACCACUCUGACAGCUGCUUCCGCCGAGUGACACGCGGAACAGAGAGGCACUUUGACGGACAACACAACUGAGGCCCAGCAACCUGCUGAGGCCCCACAGCCAGGGAAGGAGCUGCCCAUUAGGCAGGGGUGGAGGGGAGGAUGUUUGCUCCUCUUAUGAGAAGCCUCGGCCCCCAUGCCUGCCAGGGGACAGGGACUGGCACCCUUGACUCCUUGGUCUCCCCAAACUACAGUGUGCUGCAUUCUGGACAUACAACAUGGUAGGGCCAGGUGUUUCAGUGUGAAGCCCAGUGGCGCCGGAACACAGGACCUGUCAUAGACCCUGUGUGCUAGCCUAGUCCGCUGAAAACCAUCCCUGGCCCUCCAGAACAUUUGAAUGGAAGUGACUUCCAAAUAGAGGGAACUGGCGAGGGAGCCAAGAGCCCAUUUCUUGCAAAUGAAUCAUGUAGGGCUGGCUCCAGCCUGGCCCCGGGUUUCUACAGGACUGAUGCUUGUUUCUGUUCAUUCAGAGCCGCAGUCAUCUCUGGAUUCACUUGAGUUCUGGAAAAUUCAUCAGUGUGGCCCAGAGGAGGGCUCUGAAUACGCGUCUGUUGGACUGUGCGGCCGCCGCAGCCGUUCUGCAACCUGCAGAGCCUCUUCCUGCAGCCCUGGUCAUCCUCCCAGGCCACCAUUGCCAAAGAACUUUUCCAGUUAACUCAAGCCCAAGGCAUUCUGCAGUCCCAAGCCAGUCCUUCACAUGACUGUUAGCAGAUGCCACGCCAUGCCGGAUGGUUCCAUGUCUCCAUUCAGUCACCAGAUCUCCGAAGUGCACCAGCUCUGGCCAGCUUGGCUGCUAGCACUGCAGUGACAAAGCAGGACAAAGCACAGACCCUGCCUUUGCGGAGUUCCAGUUUGGUGGCAAUGACACCCUUGUCAGCAGCUGGCUGCAGCACCAGAGAUGCCCCGUACAAAGCCCAUACAAAGCAGUGUGCAUGCCAGAGAGGCUGUGAUGAAUCCUGUGGGAGCAAGAGGAAGGCCGGCAGAGAGGGGCAGAGAGAGGAGGGAAAGAAGAGAAAGAGGAGGGGAGAGGAAGGAGACAGGGAUGGAGACAGGGAGGAAGGCAGGGAGAGAUGGGCAGAGAGAGGAGGGGAAGAAGAGAAAGAGGAGGGGAGAGGAAGGAGACAGGGUUGGAGGCAGGGAGGAGGGCAGGGAGAGAGGAGCACAGAGAGGAGGGAAAGAAGAGAAAGAGGAGGGAGGAGAGGGAAGGAAGGAGACAGGGAUGGAGGCAGGGAGAAAGGCAGGGAGAGAAGGGCAGAGAAAGGAUGGAAAGAGAAGAGAAAGAGGAGGGUGGAGGAAAGAGACAGGGAUGGAGGCAGGGAGGAAGGCGGGGGGAAGGGGCAAAAAAGGAAGGAGGAAGGAAAUGGGAGAAGCAGAAAGAGGAGGAUGGAGAGGAGGAAGGAAUGAUGGAAAGGAGGGAGGGAAUGAUGGAGGGCAGGAAAGGAGGGAGGGAAGAAAGAGGGCUUUGUGGAGGAAGAAGUACCCGUGCUGAAUGAGGCUGGAAGAAUUAAACGAUGCUUGGAAGCUCAAACUUUGAACAAAGCACAGAAGCCCCUUCCAGGGAAUUGCCCCCUCCAGGGAAUUGCCCCUUCCAGGGUGUUGCAACUUCCAGGGAGUUGCACCUCCCAGGAGGUUGUGUGUGGGUCAUCAGAGGAUGGAGAGGCAUGGAAGGCAAUGGUGGGCAGCUGGGCUGCUAAUCACCAAGGGCCUUGUCUGCUGUCACUGGUGUGAUUUUUGUCCAGAAUUGUCAUUACAAUGAAUUAAAAGCUCAAGCCAGCUU
Pongo pygmaeus (Bornean orangutan) is the source of this 2231-nucleotide long non-coding RNA. RefSeq lists it as uncharacterized. The transcript has 2 exons. The record is from RefSeq and is a predicted model, not a curated record. Lineage: Eukaryota; Metazoa; Chordata; Mammalia; Primates; Hominidae.